RNAcentral lists this long non-coding RNA (4132 nucleotides) under Marmota monax (woodchuck). The record is from RNAcentral. Lineage: Eukaryota; Metazoa; Chordata; Mammalia; Rodentia; Sciuridae.
AACAGAAUACCCAGGAGAAGAUUCCUCUCCCCAUACACACCUGUGAUUUUCAAGUCCUUUUAUUCAUGCCUUUAAAUGAAAGGGUUGAGUAUACAAGGUCAGUGAAAUUGUUAUUUAUGGUUGAAAUGUUUUUGCUACAUCUAUUUUAAGAAGGGUCAUUUUUCAUUUCAUUUUUUAAAAUUGCUUUAAAGUGUUUAGCUGACUAUACAAAAUUAUUCAAUGUGCAGCUAGCAGUUUACUCGAUUUCCAAGCUGUAGGUAGCCUAAGAAUUAUGUAAGAUUCUAUAAUUAAAGUGGUUAAGUUAAAAUUGUGUCAUUUAAUUGUCCCUAUGUUUAUAAUAGUCAUCACUCUUAAUUAUUUUUCUGUGACUAUAAAAACAUUUUCAUCUUAAAUGUGUUUCUCACCUCUCUGUUCAUUUUAGUUUACUUCUGAGAAAAAAAAUACAAUAUUAAUAUUUAAGUCACUCACUAAUAAUACACACCUUUAUACCAGAUGCCAGUAUUGCAUGUUUAGGUGGCCUACAGUUACGAAGAUCCUUGCUUCAUAACUGAAACAAAUCUCUCCAAAGAAUACCACUGCUUAUUGUAUAAUUUUUUUCCGGGAAAUGUGCCGCCCAACUAAGUUGGUAAUUUAAAAAUUAUGACUAUUUUUCCCUUUCAAGUUCUACUGAAUUCAAACUGUACAGAAAGUACUUAAUGAUGAACAUUUUUACCUACAGUAAUUCACGUUUUCUUUCCUGGUUGACAUGAGCCACUCUGCUCUGUAAGCUAAGAGCACACCAGCCUUCCCGUGCAGACCAGCCAAACUACAGGUUUGUGAGCAGCUAACCACGGGGAUACAGCUCUGCUAAUGCUCAACUAGAGUAUUUGGGAGACCUUCAACAUCUUGCUUCCAGGAGUCAGGAAAUUAGCAUACAUUGUAUUUCAAGACCAAAAAAAUAAAGCAUAAGACAACUGAGCAAGAUUUAUGAAUUCUAUUUGGAGACUGCAAGUGUCCCAGAACUAGAAGUCUCUGUAUUUGUGAUUCUUGAACUGCAUGCUUUGUAGAAUGUCCAACUACUGACCCUUUUCUGAAUCGAGGGAGAUUUCAAAGUGUAACUAUUCACAAGUGAAAAUGAGCAGGAAUUAAGUCUCUCAAAAAUAAGAGUUUAUUGUAAGGAAAAAUAGUCAAAACAAUGAUGACUGAGGAAAUAUUAUGUACUUAUUAUAUUGUUUUUAUCAUUGUCCAAAGUCUCUAGGUAUUGGAAGAAGAAAAAUUAAACAAAAACAAACAUUUCAUUUGUAAGUGGACUUGAAAAAUAAAUGACUAACCUUGACGUCCGUCAGCACACAAAAUCCUACACAGCCAAUGACAGACUUCAUUGUUUAAAGACUAGUUGGGAAUGAUUAAGAAAAAGAUGAUGUAAUCUAAUAUGUGAUAAAGAGAGAUAUAAUAUUCUCUACUGGAAGGCUUUGCUAUCAUGUCAUAUCAAAGUCUAGCAAAACGUUGAAAGUUAGAAAUGUUAUCAAGCAUUAGCAGGCAUUUAAAGAACGUCUCUUGAAUAUUUCUAGCAUAAAAAAGUAUUUCAUGUGAUGUAAAUGAAUGGUAAUUUUCUGACUUUAAAAGAGAGCCAUGCCAGUACAUUUCAGCGUUCUGGACCCAAUUCUGCAAACAUGGAGACGCUUUCAAUUUGCUCUGCCUGCCUUCCCGCCUUAGAUGGCUGCGAUUGCAGCGAAAUUAAUCCAUUUAAAAAUCUGCGGCUUAAACUUAAGGAUUUUCAGUUUUUUCCCCCUUCUCUCUCUUUUUUUUUCUUAGAAUAUCAAUAAGUUCCAAUUGAAGAGCGGAUUCUUUUGCAAUUCAGGCAUGUGCCGGCGAUAACGGGCGAGUUGGCAUGAAGAGAGGCAGAGAUGGAUUAAUUAUGCAGAGAACAUGGAAAUUCUGCUUAUCAUCGGCUAGCAAAGGAGCCCGGCUCACAUAAUCAGCAAACGAAGGGAGAGGAAAAAAUAACAAUGCAAUGGCACCUUCCAGCCCAUCAUCAGGAUUUCUUCUACCCCCCUUGUAAUUAAAAAAUAACAUACACUUAUAGCCCUAUCUCCUGUGCAGGCAAGGAGUGGAUGUCCACAAAAUAAUUGCACUGGGAUAUUAGAGCUGGCAACACGGGCUGUCCAUUCCUGCUUGCUCUCUUGCUCACCCUCUCUUUCUCUUUUGGCCUCUCAAGGCACUUUGCUUCUGAAUCCAGUCCAAAUCAGUCGAUGUCUCAGGUGACAUUCUAGCUCGGUUUCCAAAAAUCCCAAAUUGGUACCUUAUCAUGAUCCAAGCAAACAUACAUACAUAUAUGAUAAAUAUUUGAAGGGCUGACUCUGGGGGAGACUUUGGAACUGAUCACCUGUGGACUAUCUGGUCAAUUUCAUUUUUGAUGAAACAUGUCCAAACAGCCUUCAUUUUGCAAAGUGACUGGAUUAAAAUGGUAGGCCAUGCUAUCUUCUCAAUUGAUUUCUCCUCUUUACAACUUUUUGCACCUAUUUCCUUUGCCAACUCAUUUUAUAAAUUCAAGGGUAUACAAUUAAUUAUUGAGAUGUUUUGCCUUCAAAUCAGAAUUCGGAAUUCUAUAUUGUCACUAUAAAAUCCGAUAGCUCAGUGCUUUGUAUUUCUCUAGAAGCCCAAAGACACUAUACUAAACCUAGUUCAUUGCUUAAAAGAAACUAAAAUUAAAUCUUAACGUUUGUAUCCAUGUGUCUCCCAAUUCUAAGAAUUAGAAUGCAAACACGUAUGUUAAAUAAUGAUACUCCUGAUUGAAUGCCAUUGAAGUAGUUUUUUUUUUUUCUGUUUUAAUUGCCAACCAAGUAAUUUGACCUAAUUACAGACAUAAACCCCCAGAAACUCUGGCCGUGAAGAGAGACCAUUUCUUCCGGCAAAGUUACUGGUGAGCUACAGAAACAGAAAGAUGAAAAUAAAUCUGGAAAGACAAAAAUUAUGCAACAUAUGAAGGAAAGAUGUUGUUCCAAAGUGCAGUAAACUGGAAUUAGAAAGCUGGCAGACUCUAGAAAUGUAAUUUAUUCAUAGAGUUCCACCAAAGCAGGGAACCAGUGUGGGGCGCAGUUUACACGCUUGUGGGAAUGUUUUCAAUGACAGUGACAGUAAUAGACUGAUUUUUAAAACUAAUUAUUUACAUGACUAUGCAUAUGGACACACACAUAUUCUAGCACAUAUGAAUACUAUAGAAAACCAAAACUGAGUAAAUAAAUCAGUAAUUGGAGAUAUUUGUGAUUAGUGACUUUGUUCGUUUCUGAGAAUGGAGAGAAAAUAAAUAAGAAAAACACACUAAAGUGGUGGUAGGGAUUAAGGGUGAAGAAAAGUAGAAAAAUCCCAAUAAAGAGAGAAAAAGAGAAUAAAGAAUAUAGAGAAAAGAGAAUUAGAAUUAUGACAGUAGAAAUUAUAAUUUUUUGUUUAUUUUGUAAAUGCAUGCAUAAAAUAUAUUCUAUUAGAAUUAAAUAUACAAACGACGGAUAUAGAGAAAUCAUUCAAGUGUGUCUCCUUACACCAAGAAAUGUUUAAAUUCAGAAAGGCACUGCAGAUUCUGUAGAGUAGGGUAUAAUUCACAACUGACCUUGGAGCCUAGCCCAACAACUAGGGGAAUACAACUGGGAUGAUCUGACCAUUCAUUACCAUUGAAUUCCUACCACCUCCAACACAUUUUGUAUCUCUUUGAUUCAGUUUCCUCUCUGUAUUUUUUAAAGCCAUAGCUAAAAGCUAUUUAACAAAUAAUUUAUUCUUGAAAUUUGAGAAAAAUUGCAAGUCUAUAUAAAAAGCAAAGAAAAUAGUAAAAUAAACUCCCAUAUACCCAUUUCUCAGCUUCAUAAUUAUCAACUGAUGAAUAGUCAUCCUUUAGCUCUAUUCCACAAUCUCACCUUCUUUCUCAUCACAAGAUUUUUAAACAAUUUAUUUAGUUUUAAUUGACAGAUAAUAGGAGUGUAUAUUUAUGCUUUUGAAGUGUAUUCCUAGUAUAAUAAACCCUGCCCAUUUGAAAUUCUUAUUUGCAAGAUGUUUAAUAACCAAGAAGAAGCAAUGAGUCACUCUUGAUAGGACCAAUUAACACACCAAAUAUGAAGUUGUUUUUUUUUUUUUAUUAUAGAAGAGGAGAUCAAGUCAAAGC